GCGGGACGGGGUUCGCUCUGGUCAUCAAGCGCGUUGAACACUUCAGCCCUGAUGCGAGCCUUCAACUGCCCCAAGACUCCUCGAGACUCCAGGGUCUCUCUUAACGCUUGAAGUAAAGACGUUCAUCACAAGGGGUGAUGCCUUUGAGUGCCCAAUCCAGGCCUUUGCGGUACUGCAACCCAUAAUCAUGGAACUCGAUGGUGCCAGUCUGGGGCCAGGCCAGGGGCAGGGUACUGCCCUCCACACUCCAAGCAGCCUAGGGUGGAAGGUCCCUUUCGCUCUGAGUGAGUGAGUAAAGCUCACCAAGAUGUGGGAAGAGGAGGAGCAGAACACACCGAGGAUGGACCCAUGGGUGUGUCACACACCACACUAGGCUGUGGCUUCCAGCCUCUCGACUUCACCACCACCACCAGGCAGAUGUUAGAAGACAUUAGGGUCUCUUGAGUUUGUUUUCUUGUUUUUCUACAUGAAAAUGCAUAGAGAAGUGAUCGAGGACCGACCAGGCUUUGGUACACUACAGUGUAGGUUUGACCACAUGCCUGAUUCGAACUGGUGUGUCAUUUGUCACAACAUUUUGAGUCUCUUCGGUCGGAAAAAUAUUUUACGAUGAUGUCGACUUGUGUAAGAGUGGAGCGUGAGAGAGAAAGGGUGGAAUCUGAUACUGAAUUAAAAGCUGCGUUGGUGUAGCGGUCAUGUGGUCAGGGCUAGGCACGGGUCAUGUUAUCCACUGGGGUGUGUGUUGGAUGAAUGGAACGAGGAGGACAGACAGACAGACACUCAUUCACACUUUCCUCAUAGGAAGCCAGUGUGUGAAUGGGCAAAGGGGAGUAAGUGAAUCACGAGCUUCCUCCAAAAGGGGUUUCAGAACCACAAGAUUCCUUCCCAGGCAUUCACUCAGACUUUUGGACACAUUGUGACGG
Long non-coding RNA from Osmerus eperlanus (European smelt), 920 nucleotides. RefSeq lists it as uncharacterized. The transcript has 3 exons. The record is from RefSeq and is a predicted model, not a curated record. NCBI's taxonomy places the organism in Eukaryota, Metazoa, Chordata, Actinopteri, Osmeriformes, Osmeridae.